Molecule: RNA transcript, 1608 nt
Organism: Phragmites australis (common reed)
Lineage: Eukaryota; Viridiplantae; Streptophyta; Magnoliopsida; Poales; Poaceae
Gene name: DNA-3-methyladenine glycosylase 1-like
Exons: 3
Source: RefSeq, a predicted model, not a curated record
AAACACCCCCACCCCCCAUCGGAAGUCAAGAGGCCAUCUCCUCCUCCUCCUCCUCCCCCAUGGGAGAGCAAUCCCUCUCCCAGCUCAAGCCCCAGCCUCCCUCCCCAUCGCCGCCCGCCCCCGCCGCCGCAUCGCGUACCAAGAAGGCCCACCUCUCCUCCGACCCCUCCGCCUCCAACCCGCCCAAGAAGCCCCGCCCGGCGCUGUCGCUCCCGGGCCGCCCCCUGUCCGCCGACGGCGAGGUGGCCGCGGCCAUCCGCCACCUGCGCGCGGCCGACCCCACCCUCGCCGCCGUCAUCGACGCCCACGAGCCCCCGGCGUUCCACUGCCCGCACCGCCCGUUCCACUCCCUCGCCCGAUCCAUCCUCUACCAGCAGCUCGCCUUCAAGGCCGCCGCCUCCGUCUACUCCCGAUUCCUCGCGCUCCUCGGCGGCGAGGCCAGCGUGGUCCCCGACGCCGUCCUCGCGCUCACCCCGCACCAGCUCCGCCAGAUCGGGGUCUCCCCGCGCAAGGCGUCCUACCUCCACGACCUCGCCCGCAAGUAUGUCUCCGGGAUCCUGUCCGAUGCCUCCAUCGUCAACAUGGACGAUCGGUCCCUCGCCGCCAUGCUCACCAUGGUCAAGGGCAUCGGCGCCUGGAGCGUCCACAUGUUCAUGAUCUUUUCCCUUGCGCGCCCCGAUGUGCUCCCCUCCGCCGACCUCGGUGUGCGCAAGGGCGUGCAGAUGCUCUACAGACUCGAGGACGUGCCCCGGCCGUCGCAGAUGGAGAAGCUGUGCGAAAGGUGGCGCCCGUUCCGCUCCGUGGGGGCAUGGUACAUGUGGCGGCUCAUUGAGUCCAAGGCCCCGCAGCCGGCGCCGGCCUUCCCUGUCGGACCUAUUGCACUCCCGGCGCCUAAUGGGCAGCUUAUGCUACAGCAGCAUCAGCAUCAACAGCAGCAACAGCAACAGCAACAGACUGGCCUCCAAAUGAUCGACCCCCUUCAGAUGCUUCCAGGGAUGGGGUGAAUCUGUUGAAAUGAACUAGCAACGUAUGGUGUGGUUGAAUCUUUAAACUUGGAAGAUAUGGAGUAUGUUUCUAUUUGGAAACCAUAAUAUCCCAGUGGGAUUUGUUCUUGAGAGCUUUAAUAAGAGAUACUAUUGCAAUCCACCAAUUGAAGUUGCAGUACAUGGAGUAGAAAGAACAACAUUUCCAUGCACUGUGUGAUGCAGCAUGACAGGUGACAAUGGUGAAUAUGUGCCAGGAAAUGUUCAAUUUCUUUUAUCUGCGUCGACAAAUAACAUACGACAACUGACCUUUUGUCUGACGUUUGUUCUGGAUCAUAGUUUGCAAGUAAAGUGGAGUAUGUAUUGCCCGAAGUUCCUGAAUCCUGAUUGAGCCCUUCAGUAUUCUUGUGCCCUGUUGUUGAACUCCAGCUCAGUGACAGCGGUUCUGGUACAUCAGAGAUCCAAGUACGGGCUGUAUCAGCUGGAAUUAGUUAUUUUGUUGGAAACAUGAAAAUUUUGGAUCUGGGCUACUCUGUGAUUUUUACAUGUAGAGAUUCAAGCGUACUGUAAAAGCACUCGUCAAUGUUUCUGCAGUGCUCACUUGCAGCAAGUUUGUUUUGUGUUA